ACACGGAGGGCGCAAGCGUUGCUCGGAAUCACUGGGCGGAAAGCGGGUGUAGGCGGUCUAGCAAGUCAGAUGUGAAAGCCCACGGCUCAACCGUGGAAGUGCAUCUGAAACUGCUAGACUUGAGUGCCGGAGAGGGAAGUGGAAUUCCUGGUGUAGGGGUGAAAUCCGUAGAUAUCAGGAGGAACACCGGUGGCGAAGGCGACUUCCUGGACGGCCACUGACGCUGAGACCCGAAAGCGUGGGGAGCAAACAGGAUUAGAAACCCUAGUAGUCC
This 274-nucleotide ribosomal RNA is filed under the name uncultured bacterium. RNAcentral describes it as "partial 16S ribosomal RNA". It matches the Rfam family "Bacterial small subunit ribosomal RNA", at positions 523 to 796 of the family's 1533-position model. The record is from RNAcentral.